Molecule: long non-coding RNA, 728 nt
Filed under: Anas platyrhynchos platyrhynchos (common mallard)
Lineage: Eukaryota; Metazoa; Chordata; Aves; Anseriformes; Anatidae
Description: lncRNA (ENSAPLG00000031068.1)
Source: RNAcentral
UUGUCCCUUAGUAACUGCAUACUGAAAUGUGGAUUAACUCCAUGCUCUUUCACUGCAGCAUAAUUCUCAUGGUGUGGCAGGGACAAAUAAAGUGACUCCGAAAUGUUCUCCAUAAAGACUGAGAUCCUUGUCAAAGAGAUGGAGAAACUACAUCACAGAACAAAGGUACUGACUUGCUAAUGGUCAUGCCACAAAUCAGGAUAGAAAAUAGAGGAGCACCCAUACAUUCCCUGCAAGUUCUCAGAUGCAAUUUCACAAAGGGAGUUCUGUGAGGCUCAUAACCACAUAGAUGUCCAGCUUCAUAUCUUUUCCCAACUAAGACCAAUGCUCACAGCGUCCAAGCACACAGAAGUGAUCUCCCUUCUUCCUUGACCUGAUGGUUUGUUCAAAUGAUGAUCCACCAGCCAGCUGCAUCUCUUGAGCUGGAAAAGUUGCAGCAGCAGCAGAGGACAUUAGCAGACCCGUGUGAUGUGCAGCUGAAGCAGAGAGGAUGUGUAAAGCUGGUAGAACGGGUAGAAGAGAGGAAGAAUGAGUUAGCCUUUUUCACUCAUGUGGGUGGGAGAAAGACAGGCAGUCAAACAUUCGGCAAGGAUUCCAGGCAGUGUGAAGGUGGAGCACUGGGACCCAGAGGUAUUGAGCUGCCAAAGGUCACAGAGGUUGCAUUGAAGUUGAGAGCUGAACUUGUGCUCCUAUGUCCUGAUCAAGCAGAGCUCCAAGAUGGAGUUUAA